Molecule: ribosomal RNA, 254 nt
Filed under: uncultured bacterium
Lineage: Bacteria
Description: partial 16S ribosomal RNA
Rfam family: Bacterial small subunit ribosomal RNA
Source: RNAcentral
UACGGAGGGUGCAAGCGUUAUCCGGAUUCACUGGGUUUAAAGGGUGCGUAGGCGGAUAGGUAAGUCCGUGGUGAAAUCCUGCAGCUUAACUGCAGAACUGCCAUGGAUACUAUUUAUCUUGAAUGUCGUGGAGGUUAGCAGAAUAUGUCAUGUAGCGGUGAAAUGCUUAGAUAUGACAUAGAAUACCCAUUGCGAAGGCAGCUAACUACGCGAUAAUUGACGCUGAUGCACGAAAGCGUGGGGGAUCAAACAGG